GUCUUUUUGUUAAUAAUUUAAAGUCUGGCCUGCUCUAUGAAGUUUAAAUGGCCGCAGUAUUCUAACUGUGCUAAGGUAGCAUAAUCAUUAGUUUUUUAAUUGAGAACUUGUAUGAAUGGUUAAAUGAAAAAAUAACUGUCUCUAUUUAAUUUUAAAAGAAUUUUAUUUUUAAGUAAAAAAGCUUAAAUUUAAUUUAAAGACGAGAAGACCCUAUAGAACUUAAUAUAUAUAAUUUAGGAUUUUUUAGUAUUUAAAUUUUUUAAUGGUUUAUAUAUUUAAUUGGGGUGAUUAAAAAAUUAAUUUAACUUUUUUAUUUAAAUACAUUGAUUUAUGAAAUUUUGAUCCAUUGUUUAUGAUUAUAAGAAAAAGUUACCUUAGGGAUAACAGCGUAAUUUUUUUAAAGAGUUCUAAUCGAAAAAAAAGUUUGCGACCUCGAUGUUGGAUUAAAAUUUAUUUUUGGAGCAAAAGCUAAAAUAUUAAGUCUGUUCGACUUUUGAAAUUUUACA
Molecule: ribosomal RNA, 506 nt
Filed under: Iphiclus sedecimmaculatus
Lineage: Eukaryota; Metazoa; Arthropoda; Insecta; Coleoptera; Erotylidae
Description: partial 16S ribosomal RNA
Rfam family: Bacterial large subunit ribosomal RNA
Source: RNAcentral